Molecule: ribosomal RNA, 253 nt
Filed under: uncultured bacterium
Lineage: Bacteria
Description: partial 16S ribosomal RNA
Rfam family: Bacterial small subunit ribosomal RNA
Source: RNAcentral
UACGGAGGAUUCGAGCGUUAUCCGGAUUUAUUGGGUUUAAAGGGAGCGUAGGCGGGUUGUUAAGUCAGUUGUGAAAGUUUGCGGCUCAACCGUAAAAUUGCAGUUGAUACUGACAUCCUUGAGUACGGUAGAGGUAGGCGGAAUUCGUGGUGUAGCGGUGAAAUGCUUAGAUAUCACGAAGAACUCCGAUUGCGAAGGCAGCCUGCUGGACUGUAACUGACGCUGAUGCUCGAAAGUGUGGGUAUCAAACAGG